UGGUUGAUGAAGAUUUUUUCAUCUUCCUUCUAUUUUAGACUUUCUACGAAGGAGGCUAAUGGUUUGGAGGAUGAUAAAAAGAGACUCCUUUCUCUUUUACCUCAAAGGCAUGCUCAAGGAGAACCAAGAAAAAUCCUAGAAAAGAACCCUAUCUUCUCUUAUUUUCUUCUUCCCUUUUUCACGCCUAGAAAGGUGUCGACGCCCCUUUAAUUUUUCUCACACCCCCACC
RNAcentral lists this long non-coding RNA (229 nucleotides) under Elaeis guineensis (African oil palm). RNAcentral's name for it is "long non-coding RNA (EGUI_LNC007768)". The record is from RNAcentral. Lineage: Eukaryota; Viridiplantae; Streptophyta; Magnoliopsida; Arecales; Arecaceae.